CCCUUAGAUGUUCUGGGCCGCACGCGCGCUACACUGAUGCAUUCAACGAGUCUAAAACCUGCUCUGAUAGGGGUGGGUAAUCUUUUGAAUGUGCAUCGUGAUUGGGAUAGAUGAUUGCAAUUUUUCAUCUUCAACGAGGAAUGCCUAGUAAACGCAAGUCAUCAGCUUGCAUUGAUUACGUCCCUGCCCUUUGUACACACCGCCCGUCGCUCCUACCGAUUGAAUGAUCCGAUGAAUAUCAUGGUUUGAGGAUGCAAGUAGGUUAGCCUAUCUUCAUCUUCGAGAAGUGAAGUAAAUCUUAUCAUUUAGAGGAAGGAGAAGUCGUAACA
RNAcentral lists this ribosomal RNA (329 nucleotides) under uncultured eukaryote. Its description in RNAcentral is "partial 18S ribosomal RNA". It matches the Rfam family "Eukaryotic small subunit ribosomal RNA", at positions 1470 to 1796 of the family's 1831-position model. The record is from RNAcentral.